Molecule: ribosomal RNA, 465 nt
Filed under: uncultured bacterium
Lineage: Bacteria
Description: partial 16S ribosomal RNA
Rfam family: Bacterial small subunit ribosomal RNA
Source: RNAcentral
GAUGAACGCUGGCGGCGUGCUUAACACAUGCAAGUCGAACGGAAAGGCUCCUGCUUGCAGGGGUACUCGAGUGGCGAACGGGUGAGUAACACGUGGGUGAUCUGCCCUGCACUUCGGGAUAAGCCUGGGAAACUGGGUCUAAUACCGGAUAGGACGAUGGUUUGGAUGCCAUUGUGGAAAGUUUUUCGGUGUGGGCGUAGCUCGCGGCCUAUCAGCUUGUUGGUGGGGUAAUGGCCUACCAAGGCGUCGACGGGUAGCCGGCCUGAGAGGGUGUACGGCCACAUUGGGACUGAGAUACGGCCCAGACUCCUACGGGAGGCAGCAGUGGGGAAUAUUGCACAAUGGGCGCAAGCCUGAUGCAGCGACGCCGCGUGGGGGAUGACGGCCUUCGGGUUGUAAACUCCUUUCGCUAGGGACGAAGCGCAAGUGACGGUACCUGGAGAAGAAGCACCGGCUAACUACGUG